Molecule: ribosomal RNA, 729 nt
Filed under: uncultured eukaryote
Lineage: Eukaryota
Description: bacterial SSU rRNA
Rfam family: Eukaryotic small subunit ribosomal RNA
Source: RNAcentral
UGGCCUUGUUGGUUAACCCAUCCUCGGUUGCUGGACGGCUGGCGAUGAUCUUUAUCGAUUGUCGUCAGUUGCCAGAACGUUUACUUUGAGAAAAUUAGAGUGCUGGAAGCACGCUCACGCCUAUACUAUGGCAUGGAAUAAUGAAAUAAGAUCUCGAUGUUAUUUCAUUGGUUUUAGAAAUUGAGAUGAUGAUUAAUAUGAUCAGAGGGGGGCGUACGUACUGUGGUGUGAGAGGUGAAAUUCUUGGAUCGCCAUUUGACAAAAAUGUUCUAAUGCGUUCGCCAAGAAUGUUUUAAUUAAUCAAGAACGAAAGUUCGAGGUUCGAAGACGAUUAGAUACGAUCCUACCUCAAUUCAUACAGGUAACCAAGCCUUUUUAAGAGUCGGUAAUGGAUAUUAAUCAUCAGUUGGAUGAGUAGCCAUGAAAGGAAAGUGGUUCGGGUGGAGGGGGGGUAGCAAAGCAGAAACGAAAAAGAAAGGGAGGAAGGACACGUCACCACUGGAGCCGGAGCCUAAUUUGACUUAACACGGGACACGGGAAUAGUCCAGGACACUAGACAGAAAAACGAAUGACAAACUCAUUUAUGUUUCGAGGGGUGGUGCAGCAUGGUGCAUGGCCGUUCGUAGAGCGAGGAGUCAUAUUAAUUUCGAUUUUGAACGAGAAUCGGGACUAGUACAUAGUCAAAGUGUGAAGGGACGUGUCAAGACAUACAAGCAGAAUAAGAGGCAC